GGACAUGAGAGUGAUCUGGCUGCGAUAUCUGUCACCCCAUUGAUUGCCAGGGUUGAUCUGGCUGAUCUGGCUGGCUAGGCGGGUGUCUCCUGUCCUCACCACUUCGUGUGUGUCCCUCCCGAAGCUGCAUGCUUGGUCGAAGAAGACGACCAUCCCCAAUAGAGGAGGACCGGUCUUCCAUCAAGGGUAUACAAGUAGCUGUGCUCCCCCCCUAGAACCUCCAAACAAGCUCUCAAGGACAUGAAAAUAGAUAAGGAAGUAGAAUGAAGAAUAAAGAGGGAAGUUCAUUUUUUGAAGCAACUAAGGUGAUCUUU
Molecule: non-coding RNA, 314 nt
Organism: Macaca mulatta (Rhesus monkey)
Lineage: Eukaryota; Metazoa; Chordata; Mammalia; Primates; Cercopithecidae
Source: Rfam